Molecule: ribosomal RNA, 405 nt
Filed under: uncultured bacterium
Lineage: Bacteria
Description: partial 16S ribosomal RNA
Rfam family: Bacterial small subunit ribosomal RNA
Source: RNAcentral
AUUGAACGCUGGCGGCAGGCUUAACACAUGCAAGUCGAACGCGUGGCGGACGGGUGAGUAAUGCUUGGGAAUCUAGCUUAUGGAGGGGGAUACCUACGGGAAACUGUAGCUAAUACCGCGUACCAUAGGCUGAGCCAAAGUGGGAUUAGGUCGUUGGUGAGGUAAAGGCUCACCAAGCCGACGAUCUCUAGCUGGUCUGAGAGGAUGACCAGCCACCCUGGGACUGAGACACGGCCCAGACGCCUACGGGAGUCAGAAGUGGGGAAGAUUGCGCAAUGGGGGAAACCUGACGCAGCCAUGCCGCGUGAAUGAAGAAGGCCUUCGGGUUGUAAAGUUCUUUCGGUAGCGAGGCGUUAACUACAGAAGAAGCACCGGCUAACUCCGUGCCAGCAGCCGCGGUAAUAC